ACGGACUGAAAUACACAGGACUGAGCAAAUGAACUAGUUACAGCUGGGUACAAUCGGGAGAAAACACGUGGGUAAUCAGGGGGCGUGGCACACAGGAGGAGCGGACGAGCCGGGCAUGACAGAACCCCCCCCCAAAGGCACGCUACUCCGGGCGCGCCAAGGAAGGGGGCGACGGACGGGACGAGGCAAAACAGGACCUGAAAAACAAGAACAGAAUCAACGCAGGACGGGGAACAGGACCGAAGCACAAAACAUGGCAAGAGACAGAACGUAGGACAGGAGCUGACAAAGGGCUGGGAAAGCGGAGAGACAGAUCUGUCACGGGAGAUCGCGGGCAGAGCGGCGAUCGUGCGUGCAGGCGGGCAAGGACAGGCAGACAAGCAGAAAUCGGGGCAAAGUACGGGGUUUAAUUGGGGACACGGAACUACGAACACUGACUGACAUCAAUGACGGACGAAGGACUCAGGAGGAGCGGACGAGCUGGGCAUGACAGAACCCCCCCCCAAAGGCGCGCUACUCCGGGCGCGCCAAGGAAGGGGGCGACGGACGGGACGAGGCAAAACAGGACCUGAAAAACAAGAACAGAAUCAACGCAGGACGGGGAACAGGACCGAAGCACAAAACAUGGCAAGAGACAGAACGUAGGACAGGAGCUGACAAAGGGCUGGGAAAGCGGAGAGACAGAUCUGUCACGGGAGAUCGCGGGCAGAGCAGCGAUCGUGCGUGCAGGCGGGCAAGGACAGGCAGACAAGCAGAAAUCGGGGCAAAGUACGGGGUUUAAUCGGGGACACGGAACUACGAACACUGACUGACAUCAAUGACGGACGAAGGACUCAGGUAAGACACGGACUGAAAUACACAGGACUGAGCAAAUGAACUAGAUACAGCUGGGUACAAUCGGGAGAAAACAUGUGGGUAAUCAGGGGGCGUGGCACACAGGAGGAGCGGACGAGCCGGGCAUGACAGAACCCCCCCCCAAAGGCGCGCUACUCCGGGCGCGCCAAGGAAGGGGGCGACGGACGGGACGAGGCAAAACAUGACCUGAAAAACAAGAACAGAAUCAACGCAGGACGGGGAACAGGACCGAAGCACAAAACAUGGCAAGAGACAGAACGUAGGACAGGAGCUGACAAAGGGUUGGGAAAGCGGAGAGACAGAUCUGUCACGGGAGAUCGCGGGCAGAGCGGCGAUCGUGCGUGCAGGCGGGCAAGGACAGGCAGACAAGCAGAAAUCGGGGCAAAGUACGGGGUUUAAUCGGGGACACGGAACUACGAACACUGACUGACAUCAAUGACGGACGAAGGACUCAGGUAAGACACGGACUGAAAUACACAGGACUGAGCAAAUGAACUAGAUACAGCUGGGUACAAUCGGGAGAAAACACGUGGGUAAUCAGGGGGCGUGGCACACAGGAGGAGCGGACGAGCCGGACAUGACAGUCUCGAUACACCCCUAUAUCUUUUUUUUGGGAAUAUGGUGGGGUGCAUGGGAUUCCGCCGUCUGCCAGCGGUGGGGAGCUCGUACCCUGACCACUUCCUCACUUUUAAUGUACCGCAGUUUUGAAUUGCAUACACUUCUGUUCACACACACAUUCAUACACACCGACAUGUACAUACUUUACACACACACACACUGAGCGGGGGUGCAGAUGGGGGCCUGAAGAGGGCCCCUUUUAUUCUCCCUCUCUGGGCCCUUGGAGGGUGUGGUGGGUGGUCCCGGGGGGGGUUUGGAGAGUACCCGGAAAACCUGCCUGGUCCUUGACCCACAGUGGCACAUCCUUGAUGAUAAUACGUUGUUGUAAAUUUGUAUUAUAUGAAGGUUGAUGUUGCUAUUUAUUGUUAUUGUUGUUAUCAUAACUGCAGCUGUACUUAUCAUUUUUGAUAAAAAAUGAAAAAAACAUUUUUGAUUUGAAAAAAAAACAGUCCUCCGCAGAGGAGGGGUGGUGGAGGGAAUAUACAUGUAAAAAAAAAUAAUUAUUAUAUGGAGGUUGAUGUUGCUAUUUAUUGUUAUUGUUGUUAUCAUAACUGCAGCUGUACUUAUCAUUUUUGUUAUUGCUAUUACUAUUGUUAUUGGCUCUAGUUGUUUUUCUUUUUAUUUAUUUUUAUUAUUUUUAUUUUCUUUUUGUUUUUCUUUGUUUCUGUGUUUUUUUUUCUUCAUAAUGGAAAUUUAAAAUAAAGUAGUCCUCCGUAGAGGAGGGGUGGUGGAGGGAAUAUGCAUGUAAAAAAAAAUAAUUGUCACGCAACAGGGGUGACAUAUAUCUCCCUGAGCCAAGUUUAGUGCACCUUAGUUAUCCAACCUGACCAUCUAGUCUCGAUACACCCAUAUAUAUAUGUGUGUAUAUAUAUAUAUAUAGAUAUUUUUUCUUUUUUUUGUGUUUUUUUUUUGCAAUCGACAAUAAAAAUAACGCAGUUCUCCGUGAA
Long non-coding RNA from Brienomyrus brachyistius, 2420 nucleotides. RefSeq lists it as uncharacterized. The record is from RefSeq and is a predicted model, not a curated record. The transcript is spliced from 2 exons. NCBI's taxonomy places the organism in Eukaryota, Metazoa, Chordata, Actinopteri, Osteoglossiformes, Mormyridae.